GGUUAUGGCUCAGCGGUAGAGUGCUGACCUAGCAUGUACAGGGCCCUGGGUUCAAUCCUCAGCACCA
This 67-nucleotide transfer RNA is filed under the name Marmota monax (woodchuck). RNAcentral describes it as "tRNA.Ala". The record is from RNAcentral. Lineage: Eukaryota; Metazoa; Chordata; Mammalia; Rodentia; Sciuridae.